This 720-nucleotide long non-coding RNA is filed under the name Citrus x clementina. RNAcentral's name for it is "Citrus clementina (C. clementina) long non-coding RNA (CCLE_LNC003301)". Lineage: Eukaryota; Viridiplantae; Streptophyta; Magnoliopsida; Sapindales; Rutaceae. The record is from RNAcentral.
AAAAAAAAGAGAGAGGUGGUUAAAAAAUAAAAUAAAUAAAAGAAGAAGCUAGAAAGGGGGGAGCAUGUUCACACGUGAGAGAGGAAGCUAUCAAAACCGACCCGAAACCCGACCCAAACCUACGAACCCGACCCGGAUAUAUAUCCGAUUUCCGGUCACCUCACCGGCCGAGGAAGAUACCAAUCUGAAGCUUGAAGACCGGUCGUCGUAUCCCAGCCAUCACUGUCGCCGAUUAACAGCCAGAAUUCUGUCUUUUUAGUUCGAUAAGCCGCGGUAAAACCCACCCUUUCUUGCCGUCGCUUCCGUCGGUUUUUGGUGACGCCCCCGCCUGGAUCUUGAUCCUGAACUCACUCUCAUCAUUUUCCAACCAACCCCACCAUCUGAAACUACUUUUUGGCCGCGAACGAUCGCCGGAAAGCUUGCAGCUUCUCGAUCUGCCGCUGUUGCCGUGCGUGGGAGCUCACCGUCGGCACUAUUAGACUCAGCGUGGUUGGAACUAUCAGACCCGAGCUUCUCGGCCACCGUUGAAUUACCGGUCACCGUUGACCGGCGAGGGCAAUUAGGUAAUUUCACAUUUUGAGGUCAAUUUUGUAAUUUCGGUUCUGGAAUUGUGGAUUGGUUGUAAUUAUGAUUCCGAGGGUAAUUUAGUGAUUUAUAAUUUUGGAGUAUUUUAAUAAUUUACGGAUGCAAGUAUAUUUUGGUAAUUUUAUUGCCGUGGAG